Long non-coding RNA from Cannabis sativa, 511 nucleotides. RefSeq lists it as uncharacterized. Lineage: Eukaryota; Viridiplantae; Streptophyta; Magnoliopsida; Rosales; Cannabaceae. The record is from RefSeq and is a predicted model, not a curated record. The transcript is spliced from 2 exons.
CUAAAAGCCAAGAAUGCGGUUUUUAUGUUUUGAAAUAUAUGACUGACAUCGUCGCACGUGCCAACCCCAACCGUUACAUAGAAGAUCAAAAAGCUUUUGGGGGUAAGAAGCAAUACGAUCCAAAAACAGAAAUUUUACCACUACAGCGAAAGUGGAUCGAACAAUUGAUGGCGGUGAUUCACGGUGACGAUUGAGGUUCAAAGGUCGAAGAAUUUUUCUUCAUUAUGUAAUUUUUAUAGAUUAACUUGUAAUUAGAUUUAUUAACUUAUUAAUAUUUUUAACUAAUUUUACAUGUUUGUGUAAUAUUUAAUUAUUUUUAUGAAAUCAAAUUAUGUUUUUACCCAAAUUUAAUUACUAUUAUAAUUAAAUUAAAUAAAUAUGUAAUUUAAAAUUUAAAUAAAUAUGUAAUUUAAAUUAAAUAAAUAUGUAUAUAAAUUAAUAAAUAUAAAAUUAAAAUAAUAUAAUUAAAUUAAAAAAAAAAUCGAAAAACUGAAAUUCGCGAGACCCUUUA